This is a long non-coding RNA of Ctenopharyngodon idella (grass carp), 437 nucleotides long. RefSeq lists it as uncharacterized. The record is from RefSeq and is a predicted model, not a curated record. NCBI's taxonomy places the organism in Eukaryota, Metazoa, Chordata, Actinopteri, Cypriniformes, Xenocyprididae. The transcript has 3 exons.
UCCUGUUCAUCAAAGGAGCACACAGACAUAAUAAAGGCUCUUAGUGUUUUACAGAGCCACAGUGCAGUGAAAAUACAACCAGAAUCAUGGACUGCAUUUCCAUACUGCUGGUUUUGGCAACUGCACCCUGUCUUUUCUGUAUUGAGCUGAAUCAGCCUCCUGUCAUGGUAAUAAAACCAGGAGAAACAUUUACCAUCGCUUGUAAGAUCACUGGAUAUUCAGCUUCAGGCGGUGGCUAUACAAACUGGAUCAGACAUUCAAGUGGAAAACCGAUGGAAUGGAUUGGAUAUUUCUAUACUUCCAGUACCAAUGGUGUCAAAGAUUCACUGAAAAAUAAGAUCAGUUUCUCAUCUGAAUCCUCCAGCAACGCAGUCAUUUUAACAGGACAAAACUUCAACACUGAAGACACAGCUGUGUAUUAUUGUGCUCGUGAUACA